GAAGUAGUAUGGACGUAAUUUUUUACUGUCCGUGCUUACUACAAAAAUUUUUUACCGGUUCCACAUCGUCUAUGUGAUCUAAAUAUGGUGAAGAAAAUAGCUAGGAAGACCCAGAAGCGAAUAGCAUUUGAAAGAAACUCUACAAUAUUUAAUAGCAUGAGGAACGACAAGGACCAACUUAGCACUAAGGAGAAAAAGGGGGUGUAUAAAAUAUCCAUGAAGGAUAUGGACAUGGGUCAAGACUUGGCGUAUAUAGGGGUCACGGCAAGGUCAAUAGGAACACGAAUGGAGGAGCAUAAAACUAAUAUCCUGAAAGCAAAAACAAUCACAGCCACAAAUAGAUUCAGUUGAUUUCAAGCACAAAAUGAGCAGUCUAAGGGUGCGGCCAUGCAGACGCGAAUUUGGAGCUGCGAGCGAUUUCUGGCGUCAUUCUGACGUCAUCACGCU
Molecule: long non-coding RNA, 447 nt
Filed under: Androctonus crassicauda
Lineage: Eukaryota; Metazoa; Arthropoda; Arachnida; Scorpiones; Buthidae
Source: RNAcentral